Molecule: ribosomal RNA, 496 nt
Filed under: uncultured bacterium
Lineage: Bacteria
Description: partial 16S ribosomal RNA
Rfam family: Bacterial small subunit ribosomal RNA
Source: RNAcentral
GAUGAACGCUGGCGGCGUGCCUAAUACAUGCAAGUCGAGCGAACAGACGAGGAGCUUGCUCCUCUGACGUUAGCGGCGGACGGGUGAGUAACACGUGGAUAACCUACCUAUAAGACUGGGAUAACUUCGGGAAACCGGAGCUAAUACCGGAUAAUAUAUUGAACCGCAUGGUUCAAUAGUGAAAGACGGUUUUGCUGUCACUUAUAGAUGGAUCCGCGCCGCAUUAGCUAGUUGGUAAGGUAACGGCUUACCAAGGCAACGAUGCGUAGCCGACCUGAGAGGGUGAUCGGCCACACUGGAACUGAGACACGGUCCAGACUCCUACGGGAGGCAGCAGUAGGGAAUCUUCCGCAAGGGCGAAAGCUUGACGGAGCAACGCCGCGUGAGUGAUGAAGGUCUUCGGAUCGUAAAACUCUGUUAUUAGGGGAGAACAAAUGUGUAAGUAACUAUGCACGUCUUGACGGUACCUAAUCAGAAAGCCACGGCUAACUACGUG